This 1316-nucleotide ribosomal RNA is filed under the name metagenome. RNAcentral describes it as "bacterial LSU rRNA". It matches the Rfam family "Bacterial large subunit ribosomal RNA", at positions 1599 to 2925 of the family's 2925-position model. The record is from RNAcentral.
GUCAAGCUUCCAAGAAAAGCCCUAGACCCGUUAAGGCAUGAUUGCCUGUACCCGAAACCGACACAGGUGGGGUGGUAGAGAAUACCGAGGGGCGCGAGGUAACUCUCUCUAAGGAACUCGGCAAAAUGGCCCCGUAACUUCGGGAGAAGGGGUGCCAGCGAGAGCUGGUCGCAGUGAAGAGGCCCAGGCGACUGUUUACCAAAAACACAGGUCUCCGCUAAGUCGCAAGACGGUGUAUGGGGGCUGACGCCUGCCCAGUGCCGGAAGGUUAAGGAAGCUGGUCAGCGCAAGCGAAGCUGGCGACUGAAGCCCCGGUGAACGGCGGCCGUAACAAUAACGGUCCUAAGGUAGCGAAAUUCCUUGUCGGGUAAGUUCCGACCCGCACGAAAGGCGUAACGAUCUGGGCGCUGUCUCGGAGAGAGGCUCGGCGAAAUAGAAUUGUCUGUGAAGAUGCGGACUACGUGCACCCGGACAGAAAGACCCUAUGAAGCUUUACUGUAGCUUGGUAUUGUGCUCGGGCUCGGAAUGCGCAGGAUAGGUGGGAGGCAUUGAUCCAUUGCUUGCGGGUGAUGGUGAGCCACUGGUGAGAUACCACUCUUUUCGAGCUUAGGUUCUAACGGCCACCCGUUAUCCGGGGGCCGGACAGUAUCUGGUGGGCAGUUUGACUGGGGCGGUCGCCUCCUAAAAGGUAACGGAGGCGCGCAAAGGUCUGCUCAGGCUGGUUGGAAAUCAGCCGACGAGUGUAAAAGCAGAAGCAGGCUUGACUGUGAGACCUACAAGUCGAACAGGGAGGAAACUCGGCUUUAGUGAUCCGACGGUUCUGCGUGGAAGGGCCGUCGCUCAACGGAUAAAAGUUACUCUAAGGAUAACAGGCUGAUCUCCCCCAAGAGUUCACAUCGACGGGGAGGUUUGGCACCUCGAUGUCGGCUCAUCGCAACCUGGGGCUGAAGUCGGUCCCAAGGGUUGGGCUGUUCGCCCAUUAAAGCGGUACGCGAGCUGGGUUCAGAACGUCGUGAGACAGUUCGGUCCAUAUCCGGUGCACGCGCAGGAAUAUUGAGAGGAUUUCUCCCUAGUACGAGAGGACCGGGAGGAACGCACCUCUGGUGUGCCAGUUAUCGUGCCAACGGUAAACGCUGGGUAGCCAUGUGCGGAGAGGAUAACCGCUGAAAGCAUCUAAGUGGGAAGCCCACCUCAAGAUGAGUAUUCCCAUGGCGUUAAGCCAGUAAGGUCACGGGAAGAACACCCGUUGAUAGGCUCUAUGUGGAAGCGCAGUAAUGCGUGAAGCAGAGGAGUACUAAUAGACCGAGGGCUUGAUC